AGCGGGAAGAGCUCAAAUUUGAAAUCUGGUGGCCUCAGGUCAUCCGAGUUGUAAUCUAUAGAAGUGUUUUCCGUGCUGGCCCAUGUACAAGUCCCUUGGAACAGGGCGUCAUAGAGGGUGAGAAUCCCGUCCUUGACAUGGACUACCAGUGCUCUGUGAUACACUUUCAACGAGUCGAGUUGUUUGGGAAUGCAGCUCAAAAUGGGUGGUAAAUUCCAUCUAAAGCUAAAUAUUGGCGAGAGACCGAUAGCGAACAAGUACCGUGAGGGAAAGAUGAAAAGCACUUUGGAAAGAGAGUUAAACAGUAUGUGAAAUUGUUGAAAGGGAAACGAUUGAAGUCAGUCGUGCUCAAUGGACUCAGCCGUUCUGCGGUGUAUUUCCAUUGGGUGGGGUCAACAUCAGUUUUGAUCGCUGGAUAAAGGCAGGAGGAAUGUAGCACCCCCGGGUGAACUUAUAGCCUCUUGUCACAUACAGUGGUUGGGACUGAGGAACGCAGCAUGCCUUUAUGGCCGGGAUUCGUCCACGUACAUGCUU
This 534-nucleotide ribosomal RNA is filed under the name Filobasidium uniguttulatum. RNAcentral's name for it is "partial large subunit ribosomal RNA". It matches the Rfam family "Eukaryotic large subunit ribosomal RNA", at positions 97 to 618 of the family's 3401-position model. Lineage: Eukaryota; Fungi; Basidiomycota; Tremellomycetes; Filobasidiales; Filobasidiaceae. The record is from RNAcentral.